Molecule: ribosomal RNA, 253 nt
Filed under: uncultured bacterium
Lineage: Bacteria
Description: partial 16S ribosomal RNA
Rfam family: Bacterial small subunit ribosomal RNA
Source: RNAcentral
UACGUAGGGACCAAGCGUUGUUCGGAUUUACUGGGCGUAAAGGGCGCGUAGGCGGCGUGGUAAGUCACUUGUGAAAUCUCUGAGCUUAACUCAGAACGGCCAAGUGAUACUGCUGUGCUAGAGUGCAGAAGGGGCAAUCGGAAUUCUUGGUGUAGCGGUGAAAUGCGCAGAUAUCAGGAGGAACACCGAUUGCGAAGGCAGCUCGCUGGGACGUCACUGACGCUGAGACGCGAAAGCGUGGGGAGCAAACAGG